This 467-nucleotide ribosomal RNA is filed under the name uncultured bacterium. RNAcentral describes it as "partial 16S ribosomal RNA". It matches the Rfam family "Bacterial small subunit ribosomal RNA", at positions 28 to 507 of the family's 1533-position model. The record is from RNAcentral.
GACGAACGCUGGCGGCGUGCUUAACACAUGCAAGUCGAACGGAAAGGCUCCAGCUUGCUGGAGUACUCGAGUGGCGAACGGGUGAGUAACACGUGGGUAAUCUGCCCUGCACUAUGGGAUAAGCCUGGGAAACUGGGGCUAAUACUGGAUAUGACCUUUCUCCUUAUGGGGUUUGGUGGAAAGUUUUUCGGUGUAGGAUGAGCCCGCGGCCUAUCAGCUUGUUGGUGGGGUGAUGGCAUACCAAGGCGACGACGGGUAGCCGGCCUGGGGGGGUGAUCGGCCACAUUGGGACUGAGAUACGGCCCAGACUCCUACGGGAGGCAGCAGUGGGGAAUAUUGCACAAUGGGCGGAAGCCUGAUGCAGCGACGCCGCGUGAGGGAUGACGGCCUGCGGGUUGUAAACCUCUUGCAGCAGGGACGAAGCGUAAGUGACGGUACCUGCAGAAGAAGCACCGGCUAACUAUGUG